This 460-nucleotide ribosomal RNA is filed under the name uncultured bacterium. RNAcentral's name for it is "partial 16S ribosomal RNA". It matches the Rfam family "Bacterial small subunit ribosomal RNA", at positions 338 to 795 of the family's 1533-position model. The record is from RNAcentral.
CCUACGGGUGGCUGCAGUGAGGAAUAUUGGUCAAUGGACGAGAGUCUGAACCAGCCAAGUAGCGUGAAGGAUGACUGCCCUAUGGGUUGUAAACUUCUUUUAUAUGGGAAUAAAAUGUUCCACGUGUGGGAUUUUGUAUGUACCAUAUGAAUAAGGAUCGGCUAACGCCGUGCCAGCAGCCGCGGUAAUACGGAGGAGCCGAGCGUUAUCCGGAUUUAUUGGGUUUAAAGGGAGCGUAGGUGGUAUGUUAAGUCAGUUGUGAAAGUUUGCGGCUCAACCGUAAAAUUGCAGUUGAAACUGGCAGUCUUGAGUACAGUAGAGGUGGGCGGAAUUCGUGGUGUAGCGGUGAAAUGCUUAGAUAUCACGAAGAACUCCGAUUGCGAAGGCAGUUCACUGGACUGCAACUGACACUGAGGCGCGAAAGUGUGGGUAUCAAACAGGAUUAGAUACCCUUGUAGUC